CUUAGAGUAAUGUCUAAGUAUCAUUAAGUGAAUACAUAGCAUAAAGAGGGGCACUCAGGGAACUGAAACAUCUAAGUACCUGAAGGAAGAGAAAGAAAUACGAUUAAGUAAGUAGAGGCGAGCGAACAAGGAUAAACCCAAACCAAUAAAGUUUUCUUUAUUGGGGUUGCGGACAUAUCAUAACGAAGAGGUAUCGUAAUUGAAGAGGUUGGAAAGACCCACCACAGAAGGUAAUAGUCCUGUAUGUUAAACGAGAAGACUUUAGAUAUGAUCCAGAGUACCACGGGACACGUGAAACCCUGUGGGAAGCAGGAGGGACCACCCUCCAAGGCUAAAUACUACCUAGUGACCGAUAGCGUAUAGUACCGUGAGGGAAAGGUGAAAAGAACCCCGGGAGGGGAGUGAAAUAGAACCUGAAACCCUGCACUUACAAGCUGUGGAAGCACAUUUCUUGUGUGACCGCGUACUUUUUGUAGAACGGGCCAACGAGUUACGUUAAGUAGCAAGGUUAAGCAGUUAAGGUGUGGAGCCGUAGCGAAAGCGAGUUUUGACUGAGCGUUCAGUUACUGGACGUAGACCCGAAACCGGGCGACCUACCCAUGAGCAGGAUGGAGCGAAAGUAAGAAGUCGUGGAGGUGCGAACCCGCGAGCGUUGGAAAGAUCGAGGAUGACUUGAGGGUGGCGGUGAAAUGCGAAGCAAGCCCGGAGAUAGCUGGUUCUCGCCGAAA
RNAcentral lists this ribosomal RNA (728 nucleotides) under Clostridioides difficile. RNAcentral's name for it is "partial 23S ribosomal RNA". It matches the Rfam family "Bacterial large subunit ribosomal RNA", at positions 131 to 864 of the family's 2925-position model. The record is from RNAcentral. Lineage: Bacteria; Bacillati; Bacillota; Clostridia; Peptostreptococcales; Peptostreptococcaceae.